CCUACGGGUGGCAGCAGUGAGGAAUAUUGGUCAAUGGACGCAAGUCUGAACCAGCCAAGUAGCGUGCAGGAUGACGGCCCUCCGGGUUGUAAACUGCUUUUAGUUGGGAAUAAAAGGGGUCUCGUGAGCCCCGUUUUGUAUGUACCAUCAGAAAAAGGACCGGCUAAUUCCGUGCCAGCCGCCGCGGUAAUACGGAAGGUCCGGGCGUUAUCCGUAUAUAUUGGGUUUAAAGGGAGCGUAGGCCGGCUUUUAAGUCAGCUGUGAAAGUCCGGGGCUCAACCGUGGAAUGGCAGUUGAAACUGGAGGCCUUGAGUGCACACAGGGAUGCCGGAAUUCAUGGUGUAGCGGUGAAAUGCUUAGAUAGCGCGAAGAACUCCGAUUGCGAAGGCAGCGUACCGGCGCCAGACUGACGCUGAGGCACGAAAGCGCGGGGAUCGAACAGGAUUAGAUACCCCAGUAGUC
RNAcentral lists this ribosomal RNA (462 nucleotides) under uncultured bacterium. Its description in RNAcentral is "partial 16S ribosomal RNA". It matches the Rfam family "Bacterial small subunit ribosomal RNA", at positions 338 to 795 of the family's 1533-position model. The record is from RNAcentral.